RNAcentral lists this ribosomal RNA (478 nucleotides) under uncultured bacterium. Its description in RNAcentral is "partial 16S ribosomal RNA". It matches the Rfam family "Bacterial small subunit ribosomal RNA", at positions 28 to 523 of the family's 1533-position model. The record is from RNAcentral.
GACGAACGCUGGCGGCGUGCUUAAUACAUGCAAGUCGAACGGUAAGGCCCUUCGGGGUACACGAGUGGCGAACGGGUGAGUAACACGUGGGUGAUCUGCCCUGCACUUCGGGAUAAGCCUGGGAAACUGGGUCUAAUACCGGAUAGGACCACUGCCUGCAUGGGUGGUGGUGGACAGCUUUUGCGGUGUGGGAUGGGCCCGCGGCCUAUCAGCUUGUUGGUGGGGUGAUGGCCUACCAAGGCGACGACGGGUAGCCGGCCUGAGAGGGUGACCGGCCACACUGGGACUGAGAUACGGCCCAGACUCCUACGGGAGGCAGCAGUGGGGAAUAUUGCGCAAUGGGCGCAAGCCUGAUGCAGCGACGCCGCGUGAGGGAUGACGGCCUUCGGGUUGUAAACCUCUUUCAGCACCGACGAAGCGCAAGUGACGGUAGGUGCAGAAGAAGGACCGGCCAACUACGUGCCAGCCGCCGCCGUAA